Molecule: long non-coding RNA, 4999 nt
Filed under: Malus domestica (apple)
Lineage: Eukaryota; Viridiplantae; Streptophyta; Magnoliopsida; Rosales; Rosaceae
Description: long non-coding RNA (MDOM_LNC012365)
Source: RNAcentral
AGGGCCGAAGCUAGAGGAAGACCUAGGAAAACUUUGGAAGACUCUAAGAAAAGACUUAGAGUACUUGGAUCUAACGGAGGACAUGACACAGGAUCGAGCACAAUGGCGUUCUAAGAUUCAUAUAGCCGACCCGACUCAGUGACUUGGAUUUUUCAAGUCUCCAAUCGAGAAGUUUUCCCCACUCGGGAAAUUAAGGGAACACAACCUCAACCUACAUGCUCCACUCACAAAGCUUCAACAUACAAGCUUCAACAAAAGAAAAAUUCAAAGAACUUAGUGAAGAAGGCUUUGGUGUAUUUAACACAAUACGUUGAAAUGAAACAAAGCUUAUUUAUUGAUAUCUCUAAGAAGUUACAAAUAUGUACAUCUACACGAGUCAAAAUAAACAAACAAGAGGGAGCCUUCACAAAGGUUGCUUAGGAGAAGUCUCAGCAGUCGGCAGAGCCCCAGAAAGAGAAGGCACCGGAAGGGGAUCAUUCGGAGCCUCAGUACUGGACAGCACCCUAGAAGGAGGAGGCAUCGGAGGUUGAUCAUUUGGAGCUUCAUUACGCGGUCCAGCCCCAGAAGAAGACGAAGGCAAUAAAUGCCUUUGGAACAAACCCACAAAACCUCUGAUGAUCAUGUAAAAUCUGACCAUCAGAUUCCUUCAUCUGGUCAAGCUUCUCUCUUCAUGUUUGUAGCAUAGUCAUGAGCGAGCCGGUGCAACUCUUGUUUAUUCUCAUGCUUGAGCCCUCUAAUCUCUUGUUUGAGACUCAUCACUUCAGCCGCCAAUGAUUCAACUUGGCGGGUUCGAGCAAAUAGGCGUUGGGUCAUAUUAGACACAGAACCUGCACACUGACACAUUGAGAGCCAGAGAAUCCUCCUAACAGCCAACUCAUCAGACCGUUUGGAAAGUAGUCUGUUAUAUCUUUGGGAGUGAGAAGGUUCCUGGCCACUACCGCGCAGCAGCGGUCAUAUCAUUCUCAAUCCCCAACGGAAUCCCAGGAAACCAGGUAAGAGGGUAGGGGAUAAGAAGGAUGGGCGCCAUAUUUGUCUGGAGAAAGGCGUGGCUGCCUCUUUUCAACAAGGUUCAAGUCAAAAACGACGGUCGGAGGGGCCAGACAUUCAAAGGUGUUGAAGAGAAAAGAGGGUCGGACAAAUCAAGAUCUUGGAAAUGCAGAAGAAGGGAACUUCUACUGGUGGAGAUUCAAGUGUGCUUUGGAACUUAAUACCAGCCUCUAUAAAAAUCCGCACUCGAUGGAGCUUCAGAAAUCGAAGAGGCGCCUACUCAGAAAUCGAAAGGCGUUUGCUUUCUCAAAAGCUGGGCUGCUCAGAGACCACGAGGGCCGAUCUCAGGAAUCGAAGAGGCGUUUACUUUCUCAAAAGCUGGGCUGCUCAAAGACCCAUGAAGGUCGAUCGCAGAAAUCGAACGCUUGCUUUCUCAAAAGCUGGGCUGCUGAGACCAUGAGGGCCGAUCUCAGAAAUCGAAGAGGCACCUGCUUUUUCAGCCUUGUCAGCACCUGUCACAUGCACACUCAACUUUGCGGAAAUUACGGGCAUUCUGUCGAAGAUUUCUAGUGAAGUAGAAAGCACGUGAAUGUUACUGUUCAAUCAUUCACUUUCCACACGCAACAUCAGCUCACGGGUACCACAGAUAACUUUGCCAAAAAUCUCUGACAAAGUUUAGACACGUGAAGCUUGCAGCUCCCAUUACAUCGCUAUGACCAAGAAGGGUAAAAGAAUAGCAAAGAAACAGCACUAACAAAGUUUAGACACAUAAAUUUUGAAGGUCUAGCUACCAUAUUAUUACCCACAAGGGUAAAGGAACAGGACCAUUGCUGGAUAAUUGGAAAGUCCCUGUGGGUCAACCUCUGUACUCCGUGGCAAGGUAGACUAGCAAACAGGCCUAACCUUUACUCACAUUCGAGAAAACACUCCCAACAAGAUUGCUUGCUUCAAGAUCGAAGAGGCACCGUCCUCCGAAUCUCGAGAGCCAGACUCCCAACAUGAUUACUUUCUCAAAAAGCGACGAGACACCGCUCUCCGAAUCUCGAGAGCCAGACUCCUAGCAGGAUUGCUUUCUCAAAAAUCAAAGAGGCACCGUUCUCCGAAUCUCGAGAGACAGAUCCCCGACAGGAUUGCUUGUUCGAAAACCGAAGAGGCACCGCUUUCUCAACUUCGAGAGCCCCUUAGAUAAAGCUUGUCUGUAAUCCUCACACCGCUUUCUCAACUUCGAGAGCCAGAUCUCCUUGGAUAAAGCUUGUCUGUAAUCUUCACACGUAACAUCAGCUUUCCAGAUACCACAGACCACUUUUUCAAAAUGCUCUGACAGAGUUAAAACACGUGAAGCUGGCAGCUCCCACUACCGUGCUAUGACCAAGCAGGGUAAAAGAAUAGUAUUACUCCUUGUUAGGGAGACUCCUAUAUAUGUCGACCUCCAUCCUCAACGGACAGGCAGACCUGCAAAAAUGCUCAACCCUUCCUCAUAUCUGAGAGGGCACUCCCAACGAAGCCUCUCGAAAUACUCAGCUUUCUUUCCCCCCGAGAAUACCUCUGCAAACAAGCUACACUAGAGCAAGAAUAUCUCAUAUCAUUAGGGUUAAAAGCAAGAGUAUCCCAUAUCAUGCUUUUUCCCUGUCUUUUCCUUUGGCCUUGUUCUUACCUGCAAGACAAGGAGAAAGAGAGCAAUCAGUCAACACUUGGAAUCAAGCUUCUAGUCCGGAACUGGCUGCCUGGAACCCCAUUGCUCUCGAGUACUCAUCUUCAACAUCUUAUGCUUCCCGAGAAGAUACCACAUCUGCCUGAGGAACAAAUAGGGCAAGUGAGAAGGAUACAAGGAAGCAUGUGGAGACAAGCGCAACAGAACACGUGCCGAUACAUCCACUACUUUGUCAACAGCAAAAGUAUCUCAUAUCAGCAGGGUCGAACAUACUCUAGAUUUGAUGGACUUGUUUUGACCCUCAAAUUCUUCAGUCGGCCUUAUACUCUGGCGGAAACAAGAAAACCCUCUAGCCCAGUUCAAGAAUAAGCCUGCGGAAAGUUACUUCUUCAAAAGCAAAAGUAUCUCAUAUCACCUUUUCUCCUUUUCUUCUCUUUAUCCUUCAUGCUACCUGCAAUAUAAGGAGAAGGAUAACAAUCAGCCGGAACUUGAAAUCAAACUUCUGAUCUGGGACUGAUUGCUUGGAGCUCUGAUUGCUUACCUUGUCUGUCACCUCUUUCAGCAGAUCCCCUAGCUCGGCGACUUGGGGGACUCCUACUACAUGGUUUGUAUCGCGCUUGACCAAGCCUGAAACUACAAGUAAGCGUCGAGUGAAAUUGAUACAUUACCUUGUGCAUCUCCACCAGUUAAAAGAUACCACCCCUGGAGGGAGGAAGAGUACUUCCAAAGAAGAUGCCACAUCUACCUAUGAGACAGAUAAGGCAAGUGAAGACGAUACCACACUUCGGUACUUAAAAGUUUCGUGAUUACGAGAUCAUUCUUCCACAAUAUUUCCUAAUGUCAUUUGUACUAAAUCAUUCACUUGUACUCACUAAAGGAGAGCUUGAACCUAUAUACUGUGUAAACCCUUCACAAUUAAUGAGAACUCCUUUACUCCGUGGACGUAGCCAAUCUGGGUGAACCACGUACAUCUUGUGUUUGCUUCCUGUCUCUAUCCAUUUACAUACUUAUCCACACUAAUGACCGGAGCAAUCUAGCGAAGAUCACAAACUUAAUAUUUAAGAUGAUAUUCUUUGGGGUAAACGCGAAGCUUAACCUUUGGAGAGAAGUGUUGAAAUCUAAAGGUCCUCGCCUAAGCCGAUCAAAGACAGAAUAUAUGGAGUGCAAGUUCAGUGCAAACGGAGGUCAAAAUGAGUUAGGGGUGAGGAUCGGAGAUCAGGAAAUACCAAAGAGCGACCGUUUUCGCUACCUAGGAUCUAUCUUGCAAAAGAACGGAGAAUUUGAUGGAGAUCUCACCCAUAGAAUACAAGCUGGAUGGAUGAAGUGGAAGAGUGCAUCCGGCGUGUUGUGUGACCGUCGUAGGCCACUGAAGCUCAAGGGAAAAUUUUAUAGGACGGCAAUGCUGUAUGGCAUAGAAUGUUGGGCGGUGAAGCAUCAACACGUAGGUGUAGUGGAGAUGAGGAUGCUUCGUUGGAUGUGUGGGCACACGAGAAAGGAUAAGAUUAGGAAUGAGGAUAUCCGAGGUAAAGUAGGAGUAGCCGAAAUUGAAGGAAAGAGGAGGGAAAAUCGGUUACGGUGGUUUGGACAUGUGCAAAGAAGGCCUACUGACGCUCCGGUUCGAAGAUGUGACCACGGGACAGAGGUUCAGGGCCGAAGGGGUAGAGGAAGACCUAGGAAAACUUUGGAAGAGACCCUAAGAAAAGACUUAGAGUACUUGGAUCUAACGGAGGACAUGACACAAAACCGAGCGCAAUGGCGUUCUAGGAUUCAUAUAGCCGACCCCACUUGGUGGGAAAAGGCUUUGUUGUUGUUGUUGUUAUAGAAUAAAAAACAGCACAAACUGAAGGAAAAAAGGGAGACAUAUUUUCUAAGUUUUUCUUAAGGGAAUGAUGUGCACCCUAUUGCUUGAUGUAAAUUUGUUAAAAACACAAGUGUUUUACCAGUCUCACAGUCUUGUGUUGGACCAAUUUGGCACCUCACUGUCCAUAGUAGCUCGUUUAGUUUUAUAAGUAUCAUACUUAUCCCCUUAUUUGGUUUUUCCUUCCAGAGAUUUCUUCUUUCUAUGAGUACAUUUUUCUUGAAUUACAUAGCUGUUAUGUGGUCAAUCUGAAAUGAAGCAGCAGAACAUUAUUGUGCUGUUACAUUUUGGAUAUUGAUCUUUAAACAUAUACCCUAUAUGCGGUAUUGAAUUGGAAGACCAUAACAAGGUCAGGUUUGCGUUGCAUGCCCCAGACCUAGAGUCCCAUUUGUGUCGUAAAAUGAAGAAUUCUGUGACAUUUUUCUCGUGCCAUCUUUUUUGAUUUGAUGUCUCUUCAUUCAUAUGCUGUGAACUCAAUCUAUUGUCCCUUUUUUUUUUUUUUU